GCAGUCGAGCGGAAGAUGGGAGCUUGCUCCCUGAUGUUAGCGGCGGACGGGUGAGUAACACGUGGGUAACCUGCCUGUAAGACUGGGAUAACUCCGGGAAACCGGGGCUAAUACCGGAUGCUUGAUUGAACCGCAUGGUUCAAUUAUAAAAGGUGGCUUUUAGCUACCACUUACAGAUGGACCCGCGGCGCAUUAGCUAGUUGGUGAGGUAACGGCUCACCAAGGCAACGAUGCGUAGCCGACCUGAGAGGGUGAUCGGCCACACUGGGACUGAGACACGGCCCAGACUCCUACGGGAGCAGCAGUGGGA
Molecule: ribosomal RNA, 310 nt
Filed under: Bacillus aerius
Lineage: Bacteria; Bacillati; Bacillota; Bacilli; Caryophanales; Bacillaceae
Description: bacterial SSU rRNA
Rfam family: Bacterial small subunit ribosomal RNA
Source: RNAcentral